RNAcentral lists this long non-coding RNA (1098 nucleotides) under Sorghum bicolor (sorghum). RNAcentral's name for it is "long non-coding RNA (SBIC_LNC018725)". The record is from RNAcentral. Lineage: Eukaryota; Viridiplantae; Streptophyta; Magnoliopsida; Poales; Poaceae.
CGCCUCGCUCCGCCUCCACCACCAGCCCGCCCACCCUCACCCUCUCUGCUCCCUUCACCGCUCCCUCCACUUCAUCGCACGCUAGUACUCAUGGAGACAGCUCUUGAGGCCGUGGUUCCCUUCCCUAGCCUUGUCCCCCUGUCAUCCUCUAGAUCUAGCUCGAGGAGCACGUGAAGGAAGCCAUGCCGGUGGCGAAUCUGUGGAAAUUCGAUGACAGGUGGUUUCUUUCCUCCUAUUUUUCAUUCAUGUACUGGAUCGCAGGUCGAAUUUGAUUUCUUCCCCUUCCUACAGUUCCGAUAGAUUACAAUCUGCUUCUCUUGGAUCUAGGGUUGGUUUAUUUGGGAGGGCAAAUCACUUACCCUAGAGCUGCUCGAGAAAGAGAAGAUUACUGGAUAGUGCACAUGGAAGAUCGAUAGGGCUACAGCUAAAGGGGAAGUCGAUUCGGUCUUCAUGCGACUUCUGAGUCUUUCUAGUGAGCAACCAUAUACAUGGAACCAAAAUCCUCUCUCUGACAAUUAAUUAGCUAUUUAGAAGACCUUAGCGUGGUUUCUAGAACAUGAUUCAGGUUGUAUUUUAUUUUGUGGACCUGUCAUAUCUCCUCUUAGUUAUGAUUUUCCAUAGUUAAUUCCUUCCUAUCUACACUAUACAUUAGAGUAUCAAAUAUAUUUUUAGCAUGGUACAGUACUUAUUAUAAGUCACCAAUAGGAUGAACCAUUCAUACUCCACAACAUGCCAAGUCCUUAUUAUAACUAGGAAAAUAAUUUUCAGACAUCUCUUUCUCAGUUUUAUGCCAGUAGAAAUAGUAUAGAUAUACCACAGAUCUAAUUUUUUUUUAGAUCUGAACAAAAUUUAAUUUUAGACUAGAUCAUGUGAUUUACUAUCAAUGUAUUACUUGAAAUUGCUUGUAGGAUUACUAUAUAGCAGGUGGCUGUGAAGUCAGUUUCAGUACAUAAACCAUAGUGCUCUUUGCAUGUGCACCUUCUCUUUUUCAUCGUGAAGUAUUAUGAGCCUUGAAUUUCAGCAGAUAGGGCAUGUUUCUCUCUAUAAAAAUUGAAACUAACACAUGACAAUUUUUCCUUAGUUUACCUAGCCAGCUGA